RNAcentral lists this non-coding RNA (29 nucleotides) under Mus musculus (house mouse). The record is from RNAcentral. Lineage: Eukaryota; Metazoa; Chordata; Mammalia; Rodentia; Muridae.
UGUUAAAUGGUCUUAACGAUCGAGCCAAA